AUACGAGUGGUGCAAGCGUUAUUCGGAAUUACAGGGCGUAAAGGGUGUGUAGGCGGCGCAUUAAGUCAAUCGUUAAAUCUCUCGGCCUAACUGAGAGUUUGCGGUAGAUACUGAUGUGCUAGAGUGUGGAAGAGAGAAGUGGAAUUCUCGGAGUAGCGGUAAAAUGCGUAGAUCUCGAGAGGAACACCGAUGGCGAAGGCAGCUUCUUGGUCCAUUACUGACGCUGAGACACGAAAGCGUGGGGAGCAAACAGGAUUAGAAACCCCGGUAGUCC
Molecule: ribosomal RNA, 274 nt
Filed under: uncultured bacterium
Lineage: Bacteria
Description: partial 16S ribosomal RNA
Rfam family: Bacterial small subunit ribosomal RNA
Source: RNAcentral